Molecule: long non-coding RNA, 1570 nt
Filed under: Ananas comosus (pineapple)
Lineage: Eukaryota; Viridiplantae; Streptophyta; Magnoliopsida; Poales; Bromeliaceae
Description: long non-coding RNA (ACOM_LNC037072)
Source: RNAcentral
GGUUGUGUUUGAUUCAAGAACUAAAUUUUAGAAAAUAAUUUGUAUUACUUUUUAGAAUAGGAGACAUUUUAGGAUAAUCUGAAAUAAGUUUGCGUGUUGUUUAUUUGUUUUUGAAGGAUAUUCCUUUGCAUUUGGUUCGGGUUAUCUUGGCAGGAUUACAAAUAAUCCUGGCAGGAUUACUACGUUUUUGUUCAUUCGGUAUACAAUCUGUUUGGUGUUGUCACAUUACAAAAGGUAUAAGAUUACACCAAAAAUAUCGAGAGGGGGGUAUGUAUCUUGGAUUACCGAAAACGGCAAAUCUUACAUGUUAUAUAAAAUUACAAGUUUACCCCUCCAUCUUCCGAAAUCCUUUCAAUACAUAAUUUUAAAAAUUUUAAUUUAAAAUUUUCAAUUAUAAAUUUUUAAAUUUUUAAUUUUAAAUUUAAAUUUUAAAUUUUUAAUUUUUAAAUUUAAAAUUUCCAAUUCUAAAUUUUAAAUUUUUAAACUUCAAAUUUUAAAUUUCAAAUUUUAAAUUUUAAAUUUUAAAUUUUAAAUUUUAAGGAUGAAAUUUUCGGAAAUAAAUUUUAGCUGCUUCUAAGGUCUCUAAAUUAAAAAUCUUAAUUUAAACAUCAGAACUAGAAUUUACAAAAUAGCUUCUUAACUAUUACAUUAAGCGAAAAUUACUCUUUGCCCGAAAAUCACAUUCUGAAAGACCAAGUAUGAAAAAUUAAUGUUUGCAUUGAAAAGAUGUUACAUGAAAUGCUAUCUUUGUAUACCCCAUUUGCGGUAUAUACGUUAAUUGAUUGAUGUGAGAUGAUUAGUGAAAAUUUUCACCAUCUAUUAAAUAGGUGGGCUAUAAAACUAUUAACCAUUUUUUCGGUGUGUGAAUAGCAUUGCACAUCAUACAUAAGUAUACUAGUUGUGUUUUCUUUUUCUUUUUUUAAUGUAUAAAGAGUAAGCACCGGUCUACUUUGACCGUAUGAGCGAAACUGAUGUCAUCCCAGCAAAUCCCACGUUUAAUUUAAGUGCAUAUGUAUACUUUAUUGAUUUCGUACGCUAUGGUGGACAAAUCUCUGACGCACACAUAAUAUUCAAACUCUUGGACCGGACAAGCUGGCCCUAGCCUAAAUUUUAGAAAGAAAAGAAAUACAAAACCAAUUCAACUAUCAAAAGAGGACAAAUAAUUGUUUAUUUGCACAAACUAUUAUUUAUUCACAAAUUUGUUUUAUAUGUAACAUUUUUUUAGCCAGUUACUUUUUUAUUCAUAGCUUUUGUUUUUUUUUUUUCUAAUAUUAGUAAAUUAUUAUUUCACUUGAUGCUGAGACCAGUAAUGCUGCUCCCAUAACUAUUUUUCGAUUGUAAUCCUACAAUGCAAUCGUUUAAGGGCCCGAAUUUUUCUUUGACCUCUUUUCUCUUGUAAUAUUGCUAAAGCACAAUUUUUUUUUUUUAAAGGAUUAAGUAUAAAAACGAUAUAGGCUUAAUUAGUAUUUUUGUUCUAUCUAAGAGGGGUGUACGCAGGGACGAAACUAUAUGGAGGCUCAAGAUGGCCAUGGCCCUCCCCUCAACUUUUCAAUAUUUAUUUAAUGGUCCU